UACAACCGCCCUCCCCCUGGCUAACAGUACUCUUUAAGUUUGACCUCAAAUCAGGUAGGAAUACCCGCUGAACUUAAGCAUAUCAAUAAGCGGAGGAAAAGAAACCAACCGGGAUUGCCUCAGUAACGGCGAGUGAAGCGGCAAAAGCUCAAAUUUGAAAUCUGGUACCUUCGGUGCCCGAGUUGUAAUUUGUAGAGGGCGACUUUGGGGCGGCUCCUUGUCUAUGUUCCUUGGAACAGGACGUCAUAGAGGGUGAGAAUCCCGUGUGGCGAGGAGUGCGGUUCCGUGUAAAGCGCUCUCGAAGAGUCGAGUUGUUUGGGAAUGCAGCUCUAAGUGGGUGGUAAAUUCCAUCUAAAGCUAAAUAUUGGCGAGAGACCGAUAGCGAACAAGUACAGUGAUGGAAAGAUGAAAAGAACUUUGAAAAGAGAGUGAAAAAGUACGUGAAAUUGUUGAAAGGGAAGGGCAUUUGAUCAGACAUGGUGUUUUGCGCCCCCCGCUCCUUGUGGGUGGGGGACUCUCGCAGCUCACUGGGCCAGCAUCAGUUUUGGCGGCCGGACAAAACUGCAGGAACGUAGCUUGCUUCGGGAAGUGUUACAGCCUGCAGGAAUACGGCCAGCCGGGACUGAGGAAUGCGAUUCGUCAAGGAUGCUGGCAUAAUGGUUAUAUGCCGCCCGUCUUGAAACACGGACCAAGGAGUCUAACGUCUAUGCGAGUGUUUGGGUGUGAAACCCAUACGCGUAAUGAAAGUGAACGUAGGUUGGGGCCUGUCAAAGG
This 774-nucleotide ribosomal RNA is filed under the name Maudiozyma humilis. RNAcentral describes it as "LSU rRNA". It matches the Rfam family "Eukaryotic large subunit ribosomal RNA", at positions 1 to 753 of the family's 3401-position model. Lineage: Eukaryota; Fungi; Ascomycota; Saccharomycetes; Saccharomycetales; Saccharomycetaceae. The record is from RNAcentral.